Molecule: ribosomal RNA, 468 nt
Filed under: uncultured bacterium
Lineage: Bacteria
Description: partial 16S ribosomal RNA
Rfam family: Bacterial small subunit ribosomal RNA
Source: RNAcentral
GACGAACGCUGGCGGCGUGCUUAACACAUGCAAGUCGAACGGAAAGGCCCUGCUUUUGUGGGGUGCUCGAGUGGCGAACGGGUGAGUAACACGUGAGUAACCUGCCCUUGACUUUGGGAUAACUUCAGGCAACUGGGGCUAAUACCGGAUAGGAGCUCCUGCUGCAUGGUGGGGGUUGGAAAGUUUAGGCGGUUGGGGAUGGACUCGCGGCUUAUCAGCUUGUUGGUGGGGUAGUGGCAUACCCAGGCUUUGACGGGUAGCCGGCCUGAGAGGGUGGACGGGCACAAGAGGACUGCGAGACGGACCAGACGGCUACGGGAGGCAGCAGGGGGGAAUAUUGCACAAUGGGCGGAAGUCUGAUGCAGCAACGUCGCGUUCGUGAAGACGGCCUUCGGGGUGUAAACCGCUUUCGCCUGUGACGAAGCGGGAGUGACGGUAAUGGGUAAAGAAGCACCGGCUAACUACGUG